UGUGAAUAACUGUCCGGUUGG
RNAcentral lists this non-coding RNA (21 nucleotides) under Caenorhabditis elegans. Lineage: Eukaryota; Metazoa; Nematoda; Chromadorea; Rhabditida; Rhabditidae. The record is from RNAcentral.